Molecule: long non-coding RNA, 377 nt
Organism: Thamnophis elegans (Western terrestrial garter snake)
Lineage: Eukaryota; Metazoa; Chordata; Lepidosauria; Squamata; Natricidae
Exons: 2
Source: RefSeq, a predicted model, not a curated record
UUCUCCAAAGCACCAGAAGGCAGGAGAAGAAACAAGGAGGUUGGCUGGAUCUGCAUACUGCCCAGGGAUAGCACGGCAGCUGGCUCAGCGCGUUUAUUGACCCAGACAAAUGCUGAAGGCUCAGGAAGCGCCGUUAUUGAGGCUGAAAUGCUCUAUGCUUUGCUAUCCCUUCAGCCCUCCUGAACGCAUUGCCUGGCACCUCUCUGCGAUGGGGACCUUUUCCACCCCAUCCCCCGCCAGAGACACCGGACCCAAAGAGGCUGAGAUGGAGGCCCUUCCCAUCCGUUGGACAGAGAACCAUCAACGGUUUCUUCAUAAAAUGUAUCUGGACAUGGUUGCAGAAGGCAAUUCCAAUAAAGGAGAAUAUUUGUAGCUCA